UGCAGCAACGCCGCGUGCGGGAUGACGGCCUUCGGGUUGUAAACCGCUUUUAGUAGGGAAGAAGGGCUUCGGCUUGACGGUACCUGCAGAAAAAGGACCGGCUAACUACGUGCCAGCAGCCGCGGUAAUACGUAGGGUCCGAGCGUUGUCCGGAAUUAUUGGGCGUAAAGAGCUCGUAGGCGGUUUGUCGCGUCUGCUGUGAAAUCUGGAGGCUCAACCUCCAGCCUGCAGUGGGUACGGGCAGACUAGAGUGCGGUAGGGGAGAAUGGAAUUCCUGGUGUAGCGGUGGAAUGCGCAGAUAUCAGGAGGAACACCGAUGGCGAAGGCAGUUCUCUGGGCCGUAACUGACGCUGAGGAGCGAAAGCGUGGGGAGCGAACAGGAUUAGAUACCCUGGUAGUCCACGCCGUAAACGUUGGGCGCUAGAUGUGGGGACCUUUCCACGGUUUCCGUGUCGUAGCUAACGCAUUAAGCGCCCCGCCUGGGGAGUACGGCCGCAAGGCUAAAACUCAAAGGAAUUGACGGGGGCCCGCACAAGCGGCGGAGCAUGCGGAUUAAUUCGAUGCAACGCGAAGAACCUUACCAAGGCUUGACAUAACCGAGAACGCCCUAGAAAUAGGGAACUCUUUGGA
This 630-nucleotide ribosomal RNA is filed under the name Agromyces sp. So3Pw_1439. RNAcentral's name for it is "bacterial SSU rRNA". It matches the Rfam family "Bacterial small subunit ribosomal RNA", at positions 387 to 1022 of the family's 1533-position model. Lineage: Bacteria; Bacillati; Actinomycetota; Actinomycetes; Micrococcales; Microbacteriaceae. The record is from RNAcentral. RNAcentral also lists the same sequence under 1 other name.